Molecule: ribosomal RNA, 85 nt
Filed under: Ailuropoda melanoleuca (giant panda)
Lineage: Eukaryota; Metazoa; Chordata; Mammalia; Carnivora; Ursidae
Source: RNAcentral
GUCUACGGCCAUACCAUCCUGAACAUGCCUAAUCCCCUCUGAUCUCAGAAGCUAAGUGGGGUCCAGCCUGGUUAGUACUUGGAUG